This 253-nucleotide ribosomal RNA is filed under the name uncultured bacterium. RNAcentral's name for it is "partial 16S ribosomal RNA". It matches the Rfam family "Bacterial small subunit ribosomal RNA", at positions 524 to 776 of the family's 1533-position model. The record is from RNAcentral.
UACAGAGGGUGCGAGCGUUAAUCGGAAUUACUGGGCGUAAAGGGCGCGUAGGCGGCUAGAUGUGUCAAAGGUGAAAUCCCUCGGCUCAACUGAGGAACUGCCUUUGAAACUGUCUGGCUUGAGGCCGGGAGAGGGUAGCGGAAUUCCCAGUGUAGCGGUGAAAUGCGUAGAUAUCAGGAGGAACACCGGUGGCGAAGGCGGGUCUCUGGGCCGAUACUGACGCUGAGGAGCGAAAGCGUGGGGAGCAAACAGG